RNAcentral lists this transfer RNA (73 nucleotides) under Culex quinquefasciatus (southern house mosquito). It matches the Rfam family "tRNA". From Rfam's summary of the family: Transfer RNA (tRNA) molecules are approximately 80 nucleotides in length. Their secondary structure includes four short double-helical elements and three loops (D, anti-codon, and T loops). The record is from Rfam by way of RNAcentral. Lineage: Eukaryota; Metazoa; Arthropoda; Insecta; Diptera; Culicidae.
GGUCCGUUGGCGCAGUGGUUAGCGUGGUAGCAUCUCACCCCAGUAUGGCCUGGGUUCAAUCCCAGACGGACCC